UUUGGAAACAGUUCAUAUGGAAGACGAGGAUCUGGAAAUGAGUUCCCUUGAAACCAUCUGUACAGACAUGGCCCGUGGAACAUCCUUCUGUCCUCUCCCUGUUUGGAAGCUUCCACCCAGAGGUUCAGGGCCCAGGAGCUCUGUCUGAGAGAGCGCUAAGGGCAGAGGGUUUUCUUGGACCUGUUUUGUGUGCAAAGCACGUAUAAGUCAAAGCCUUUUUCCGCAAGUGAGGUUGGUUAAGCAGAGAAAAGACAGCGAGGUGUUUUGUUUGUCUGGAAUCCUAUGGGCUUGGAGGCACAAUCUGGUGUACAGCAGGCCAGAGGGUCUGGAGUUAGCUGUGAUAUCAGAAACAGCAUUGCGGACUUCCCUGGUGGUCCAGUGGUUAAGAAUCAG
Long non-coding RNA from Bos taurus (domestic cattle), 393 nucleotides. The record is from Ensembl. Lineage: Eukaryota; Metazoa; Chordata; Mammalia; Artiodactyla; Bovidae.